This 77-nucleotide non-coding RNA is filed under the name Ananas comosus (pineapple). Its description in RNAcentral is "Eukaryotic large subunit ribosomal RNA". It matches the Rfam family "Eukaryotic large subunit ribosomal RNA", at positions 837 to 914 of the family's 3401-position model. The record is from Rfam by way of RNAcentral. Lineage: Eukaryota; Viridiplantae; Streptophyta; Magnoliopsida; Poales; Bromeliaceae.
CUGAGCGAGGCGAAGCCAGAGAAACUCUGGUGGAGGCCCGAAGCGAUACUGACGUGCAAAUCGUUCGUCUGACUUGG